CCUACGGGAGGCAGCAGUGAGGAAUAUUGGUCAAUGGGCGGAAGCCUGAACCAGCCAAGUAGCGUGCAGGAUGACGGCCCUACGGGUUGUAAACUGCUUUUAUACGGGAAUAACGCGCCUUCCGUUUAGGGCGUUGCAUGUACCGUAUGAAUAAGAACCGGCUAAUUCCUUGCCAGCAGCCGCGGGAAUACGGAAGGUCCGGGCGUUAUCCGGAUUUAUGGGGUUUAAAGGGAGCGUAGGCCGCAUGUCAAGCUGGCUGUGAAAUGUCCGGGCUCAACCCGGGCCUUGCAGCGCGAACUGGCGUGAUUGAGUCCGCGGAAGGCAGGCGGAAUUCGUCGUGGAGCGGUGAAAUGCUUAGAUAUGACGAAGAACCCCGAUUGCGAAGGCAGCUUGCUGCAGCGGAACUGACGCUGAUGCUCGAAAGCGCGGGUAUCGAACAGGAUUAGAUACCCUGGUAGUC
This 460-nucleotide ribosomal RNA is filed under the name uncultured bacterium. Its description in RNAcentral is "partial 16S ribosomal RNA". It matches the Rfam family "Bacterial small subunit ribosomal RNA", at positions 338 to 795 of the family's 1533-position model. The record is from RNAcentral.